RNAcentral lists this transfer RNA (73 nucleotides) under Candidatus Magasanikbacteria bacterium RIFOXYC2_FULL_39_8. RNAcentral describes it as "tRNA-Thr". It matches the Rfam family "tRNA". Rfam says of the family: Transfer RNA (tRNA) molecules are approximately 80 nucleotides in length. Their secondary structure includes four short double-helical elements and three loops (D, anti-codon, and T loops). The record is from RNAcentral. Lineage: Bacteria; Candidatus Magasanikiibacteriota. RNAcentral also lists the same sequence under 1 other name.
GCCGUCGUAGCUCAGUUGGUAGAGCGCAUCCAUGGUAAGGAUGAGGUCACCAGUUCAAUCCUGGUCGACGGCU